This 245-nucleotide long non-coding RNA is filed under the name Meriones unguiculatus (Mongolian gerbil). Its description in RNAcentral is "lncRNA (ENSMUGG00000000321.1)". The record is from RNAcentral. Lineage: Eukaryota; Metazoa; Chordata; Mammalia; Rodentia; Muridae.
GCUGGGGAGUCAGGAGUCGCAGGAGGAAGAGCAUCGGAGGAGAAGUGGAGAGAUGUCCACCCUGAGCUGGUGGCGCCUCCGGGCGCCUAGUUCAGUGUGGGUGAACUAGACAGCCGACCCUGGUCGGUGUGUGCGCAGAGUGCAGUGCUCCCGGGAGCUUUACCUUUUUGAUCUAUCCUUCUUGGGACAACUGGAAGGAAGGCUAACUAGGUCCCCCAACAGCUAGGUGGCUCUGGUCCAGUUUG